GCAGAUCCUAAAUAGAAUUAUGACAGACAUUAGCUUUUAAUAAUGCAAUAGGAGUUGAAUUCUCUUGACCAUAGGCAGAUGUCAAACCUCUUUGUGGUGGCUUUUAUGCCCAUUUACAUGUAAUUUGUAAUAUAUUGGUGAAUUGGUAUAGUAUGAAUGUGCUAUGGAUAUUUUUUCUUUCUAGCUAAGUCUGUUUAUACAUCCAGAGCUCCCUAGUUGUUGGAAUAAUGACAAUGAAAUUAUUUAUACUUGACAUUAUAUUUGGAUUCAGAGUGUGGUGGCCUUUUAAGUUUAAUAAGGAGGAUUCUAGGAAUAUAUGUAUUUCUGGUGAUUUGUAAAAAUAUUAAAUCACCAUCUCUAUAACCAAUAGCAGCAUGCACGUUUGGGAAGCUGACUUCUACUAUUCUCUUAAUGAUUGAAUUCAGUGAAGUUUUCAUUUACUACUUUGUACUUCAGAAUUAUACAUGAGAAAGAAAAGCCUUACAGCAGUUUCUAGCACUGCCAAGGUACCUGGCUUAAACUGGGAAAUGGGUUCUAAUUGCUCCUCCCAAAAUUCAACCACACAUCAACCCUUUAAAUGCCUCAAGAACAUCCUGAUCCAGGAGCAAGAAAACACUUUGGACCAGCAAGCAAUCUUGUUGGAGUAAACGUUCUGCAAUUUGGGAUCUGCAAAUCUCUGAAUUUGGUGUCUUUUCUCUAUUAUCUGGAGGUUUUCUCUGGUUUUAUCCUGGCUUCAUUCCUUGUCUGUCUGGCUUCCUGGUUUAUUCCGUCUUGGUUCUCUGAAUAUCUGUGCUUGCUCAUUUGUUGAGCUGCAUUUUGGACCUGGGUGCAAGCCUUCUUUUGCAGGUUACCUUCCCUUUCUGACACUCAAGCACUGGACCCAGCCAUUGCCAUUUUCCAGUUCCUCAGGGAGCAACAUAUUUUCUAAAACAAAAAAAAGCAAAGUAUUUAAAAACCUAUAUUUACAGAAAUAUGGCAUCUUAAUCUUUAUUUUUACAUGACUGGUUAGAAGUUAUAGUUUUAAAAAUCUAAGUAGUAAAUACUGCCUACUUAAAAGUAGUUCUACAUUAGAAAUCCUGUUUAUCUUGGAGAUUUUAAUAAUUAAAUAUUUUAAAAUUACUAUACCAUAGACCAAAUUUUAGCAAUUAAAUAAGGAUUAUCAAAAAGGAUGAUUUAACCAUCAGAAAGAUACUAAAAUCACACAUAACUGUGUGAGAAAAAAAUCAUCUUCAAGCUAUGUAUUAAAUUAAAGCAAAAUUUAAUUUCAAUGAUGACGAUGAUGAUGAUGAUAAUGAUGGUGAUGAUAAACUAAUCUGGCAUCUAUUAAUACAAUGCUAAGUUUAGUUCAGCUAAUGUUCUUCUUACUUGACAUUCUCAAAUAUGGCAUGAUGAAGUUAUUUUUCACUUUGGCUUCAGCUAAAAUGAUUCUUUCCAGUUUUCAGGAGAAAACAUUUGCCAGGAAACAGAUUAUACUGUCCAACUUCUAAUGAGUUACUAUGAUCAGUGAGCCAAUUUUUCUUUAGCCUAGGUAAUAUUUUACCAGUAAUAUUUUAAAAAGCAUAAAAUAUGAUGGAAGUUACCUUUCCUCCAUAACCAUACCUAAUAAAUUCACCUCAUGUUAUAUACCAGUUCGGCUUAAGAAUAGUUUCAAAACAAGCGUUGCACUUUAAAAAUUGCCUAGAGAUCUAAUUUGCAGUGGUAUCUAAUUUUCAGCUAGGGUGAGGUGAAGCAUCAGAGCAGAUACAGUUUACCUUGCCACAAAAUAUUGCUCAGUAAGAAGUAAUUAUCAAUAUUAUUAUUAAUUACCAUAAUUCAUUUCUCUCAGGGGAUUUUCUUCCCAUUGACUAUAGGUAAGUGAAAAGCCCAGAACAAUUAGUAAUUGGAGAUAAAAAUCUUUCAAAACUGCAUAUGGUUGAAACACUGCAACAAUUCUAUAAGUCAGGGGUUGGAAGGGAGGGAGAACAGAAAUUUUCAUUUGAAUUUUUUUUUUUUUUUGCAGAGGCUAAGGGGAAAAAAUAACUACUUCAAGAAAUGAAAAUGGGUAGCCUAGACGUUUUUUUUUUUUGAAAUGUAGAAAACCCCAGAAUUCUGGAGAGCCAUUGACCCAGUUCUUCCCUUUCUACUGCCCCUAUUUGUCUGUGAUUGAGACAAUUCUGGGAGUAUUUAACUCUAUCUUCCUUUGUUUCUACUCUGAAUCCUGGUCCCUACUGGUUCUGAGGAGCAUUGCCUUAUGGAUUAUUGUCUCUGUUUCAUAUAUCUUAAAUAUAUUUGUUUUUAUAACUUCUUUGUCCCAGGUCAUAGGCAUACUCAAAGUGUUCCCUUCCAAAAACCAAAACUUAUCACAAAAUCCCACUCUGUUUCUCCUGCCCUUCUUACCUUCAACCUAGUUAUAUAUCCCUUUCCUUCAUUUCUUCAGGUCCAUAUUGCCUUUUAUUUGCCUUUAUUAUCUUAUUGAAUUACCUAGGAAUUCCAGUACAAUGUUGAAUAAAAUAGGGUGAGAGGAGACAUCCUUGCCUCAUUCCUAAUCAUAGCAAUAGAGUAUCUAAUUUUUCACUGUAAGUUUAAUAUUAGCUGUAGGUUUUUCAUAAAUAUUCACCAUCAAGUUGAGGAAAUUCUCACUAUUCCUGGUUUGGUGAGAGUUUUUAUCAUAAGCAGGUUUUGGAUUGUCAAAAGACUUUUUCUGCAUCAGUUGAUAAAAAAGUGUUAUCUUUCAUUAGCCUGUUGAUGUAAUGGGUAAGACUGAUAUUCUAAUGUUGAACCAGGCUUUCAUAUGUGAAAUAAAAUCCACUUGGUUAUGAUGUGUAGUUCUUUUUAUGCAUUGAUUCUAUUUGCUAAUAUUUUGUUGACACUUUUUGUAUCUGUGUUCAUAAGAGAUACUAGUCUGUAGUUUAUCUUUCUUUUCGAAAAAAUAAUUUUAUUUUUUAAUUAUUGAUUUAAUUAAUGAAUAAAAAA
Molecule: long non-coding RNA, 2952 nt
Filed under: Homo sapiens (human)
Lineage: Eukaryota; Metazoa; Chordata; Mammalia; Primates; Hominidae
Description: HSALNT0200158
Source: RNAcentral